CGGCGGGCCUAACACAUGCAAGUCGAACGGAUCGUAGCAAUACGGUCAGUGGCGCACGGGUGAGUAACGCGUAGAUAAUCUACCUUCCAGCGGGGGAUAACGUUCCGAAAGGAACGCUAAUACCGCAUAAGACCACGGAGCCUUUGGGCUUUGGGGGAAAAGGUGGCCUCUCCUUGGAAGCUAUCACUGGAAGAUGAGUCUGCGUCCCAUCAGCUAGUUGGUGAGGUAAUGGCUCACCAAGGCUAAGACGGGUAGCUGGUCUGAGAGGAUGAUCAGCCACACUGGUACUGGAACACGGACCAGACUCCUACGGGAGGCAGCAGUGGGGAAUAUUGGGCAAUGGGCGGAAGCCUGACCCAGCCACGCCGCGUGAGUGAUGAAGGCCUUCGGGUUGUAAAGCUCUGUGGGAAGGGGCGAAAAACUGCGAAGAGAAUAUCUAGCAGGUUGACGGUACCUUCUUAGCAAGCACCGGCUAACUCUGUGCCAGCAGCCGCGGUAAGACAGAGGGUGCAAACGUUGCUCGGAUUUACUGGGCGUAAAGCGCGUGUAGGCGGGCGACUAAGUCGGAUGUGAAAUCCCUGGGCUCAACCUAGGAACUGCAUUCGAAACUGGUCACCUAGAGUGAUGGAGAGGAAAGCGGAAUUCCCGGUGUAGAGGUGAAAUUCGUAGAUAUCGGGGAGGAACACCAGUGGCGAAGGCGGCUUUCUGGACAUUUACUGACGCUGAGACGCGAAAGCGUGGGGAGCAAACAGGAUUAGAUACCCUGGUAGUCCACGCUGUAAACGAUGAGUGCUGGGUG
Molecule: ribosomal RNA, 799 nt
Filed under: uncultured earthworm intestine bacterium
Lineage: Bacteria
Description: bacterial SSU rRNA
Rfam family: Bacterial small subunit ribosomal RNA
Source: RNAcentral